AUUGAACGCUGGCGGCAGGCCUAACACAUGCAAGUCGAGCGGAGCGGCGGACGGGUGCGUAAUGCCUACGAAUCUGCCUGGUAGCGGGGGAUAACGUCCGGAAACGGGCGCUAAUACCGCAUACUAUCAGACGAGUCUAGGUCGGAUUAGCGAGUUGGUGGGGUAAAGGCCUACCAGGGCGACGAUCCGUAACUGGUCUGAGAGGAGGAUCAGUCACACUGGAACUGAGACACGGUCCAGACUCCUACGGGAGGCAGAAGUGGGGAAUAUUGGACAAUGGGGGAAAGCCUGAUCCAGCCAUGCCGCGUGUGUGAAGAAGGUCUUCGGAUUGUAAAGCACUUUAAGUUGGGAGGCGUUACCAACAGAAUAAGCACCGGCUAACUUCGUGCCAGCCGCCGCGGUAAUUC
RNAcentral lists this ribosomal RNA (407 nucleotides) under uncultured bacterium. Its description in RNAcentral is "partial 16S ribosomal RNA". It matches the Rfam family "Bacterial small subunit ribosomal RNA", at positions 30 to 526 of the family's 1533-position model. The record is from RNAcentral.